RNAcentral lists this transfer RNA (91 nucleotides) under Micavibrio aeruginosavorus ARL-13. Its description in RNAcentral is "tRNA-Und (NNN) (tRNA-Und-NNN-3-1)". Lineage: Bacteria; Pseudomonadati; Bdellovibrionota; Bdellovibrionia; Bdellovibrionales; Pseudobdellovibrionaceae. The record is from RNAcentral.
GUUUUUUAUCAAUGGGCUAAAAUUAUACAUAAUAAACUUAAAAUCGCUCGCUCGUAAGGGCGUGCCGGUUCGAUUCCGGCCGGGGCCACCA